ACACACACACCGUCCCGCUCCACACGCACACACACACACACACACACACAGCCCGUCCUGCGCCCGAGGUCUCGCCCGCAGCCCGGCGGCUUGGGGUCAGCUGCCGCCUGCGGUCCAGGGCAGGGUCCGUUCCGCUGCCCGGCGCCUAAGCCGGGGCUCCCGGCCCGCAGGGUCGGCGCGAGGGGCAGGAGCCCCCCAAGCUCGUCCAGAGUCUGCGGGCAGCGCACAUCCAGACGUCCUCCUGCUCCUCCUGAUGCCCCGGCCUCCACGGAGGGCGGAUGGCUCCAGCCCAGCCUGCCGGUCUCCACCUCCCACUCCCCUGAAGCACCGGGAGCUCCCUGGACCGUGAACCUGUCCUGGCAGGAGUGGUCCCUGACUGCUGGGGUCCCUGCCCCCGCUGCUGUCAUGUGGAAAGGAUUCAGGGAGCAGGCGCGGCUCGGACCGAAGUGUGGGGGCCAGCGCUGCCUGCUCCCAGCCACAGCUGCACACCCAGGUCACGGAUGUGUCGGGAACAGCUGUGACUCCCGCUGCUCAGCGUCCAUCACUCCAGGCUGGGCCCUGUCCGUCUCCACUUCCAGUGGGGGAGGCAGGGGUUGCUCUCUGACAGUGGGCAGAGGGUCCUUCUGCAGCCCCAAAACAUCCCAGGCAGGGGCCCUGGGGCUCCAAGCAGCCAAGGAGAGCUGAGCACCAAGGGGCUCCCAGCAGGUGUCAGCCUCAUCUCCGCUGAGGGACGCCGAGCCUGGUGUGGGGUUGGAGACCUGGAGUCCAACGGUGCCUUCCCGGGACACUUAAGUUCGCUGCAGUAAAUCCCGUAGGCUCGAUGUGGGUUUCUGUGCCCUGCGUGGCAGGGUGCCAUCUGACACCAGACACCCGAACCGUGUGACGCCAGGCCCUGGCUCCCCUGCACCCCAGCCCCCAGCGCAUCCAUCGCCGGCCCAGGCACUGGGGGCUGAGCUCCGUUGAGAAGGGAUGAGGCCUGGGGCACUGUCUCAGCCCGCCAGCAGGAGAGGACCGACUCCGGAAAAUUAGCCUCUGUGCCCACAUAGGCUGCGAGACCUGUGCCUGUCCAUCCAAGCUCAACCUUCGGGCUUCUCGAGGCUCCUUGCCCAGAAUGUCCGCAUUUGAAACACAGAGCCCCACUUCAAGAAUAACCAGGAGGGAACAUGGUGGCUUCACAUAAGCGUGCCACGAAGAAAAACCCGUUUCUCAAGAUGGGCUCUGGCCGCUCAGACCCUCACCUCCCCUGCCAGGAUGGAAUGUUCCAGAGUCCCAUUAGUGCCAAAGGCAAAUUAAAACACACCCUGUAAAAAUGUC
Molecule: long non-coding RNA, 1314 nt
Organism: Saimiri boliviensis boliviensis (Bolivian squirrel monkey)
Lineage: Eukaryota; Metazoa; Chordata; Mammalia; Primates; Cebidae
Source: RefSeq, a predicted model, not a curated record